GGGCCCGUAGCUCAGCUUGGCCAGAGCGCCUGGCUUUUAACCAGGGUGUCGUGGGUCCGAAGAACCUUUUCUGCGGUGCUCCUCACUUCGUUCGUCCGCUCCUUGAAAAGCUUCACCAAAAGCUGCGCAAGGUUCAAACCCGCAUAACAGCAGAACAGGCCAUUUGCCGGAAAUCCCACCGGGCCCG
RNAcentral lists this transfer RNA (187 nucleotides) under Microcaldota archaeon. RNAcentral describes it as "tRNA-Lys". The stretch from base 1 to 59 matches the Rfam family "tRNA". Lineage: Archaea; Nanobdellati; Microcaldota. The record is from RNAcentral.